This 472-nucleotide ribosomal RNA is filed under the name uncultured bacterium. RNAcentral's name for it is "bacterial SSU rRNA". It matches the Rfam family "Bacterial small subunit ribosomal RNA", at positions 8 to 526 of the family's 1533-position model. The record is from RNAcentral.
AGAGUUUGAUCAUGGCUCAGAACGUACGCUGGCGGCACGCCUAACACAUGCAAGUCGAACGCAGUAGCAAUACUGAGUGGCAAACGGGUGAGUAUAAUGUGGGAAUCUGCCUUUUGGUUUGGAAUAACACGGGGAAACUUGUGCUAAUACCAAAUAAGCCCUUACGGGGAAAGUUUUAAUGCCGAAAGAUGAGCCCGCACUUGAUUAGCUAGUUGGUAAGGUAAAAGCUUACCAAGGCAACGAUCAAUAGCUGUUCUUAGAGGAAGACCAGCCACAUUGGGACUGAGACACGGCCCAGACUCCUACGGGAGGCAGCAGUGGGGAAUCUUGCACAAUGGGGGAAACCCUGAUGCAGCGAUGCCGCGUGAGUGAAGAAGGCCUUUGGGUUGUAAAACUCUUUCGUCGGGGAAGAAAAUGACUGUACCCGAAUAAGAAGGUCCGGCUAACUUCGUGCCAGCCGCCGCGGUAAUAC